GGGCAUGAAGUUAGCAAACGCUGUUGGAAAAGUGCCACCAACAGACUAGCUCCAAGCAGGAUUGCCACAAACCUUCAAUUUGCAAAGACAUGCAUUCCAGGUGAAGCACGAUCAAACAAGGUAGGCCGGUAUAAUUGUUAUUGUUUUCUUAUCUCUGGGCAUCAUGUUAGACAAUUAAAUACAUACUAUGAUACUUUUAUAACACCAACACAUGGAUGUAUCGAUCAACUUCUGAUACUGUUUUACACUAUAGCAUAUGUAAAUACAAUUGGUUUAAUUGAGUUUAGAAAUUCUUUUGUCUCUGCCUUUUCUAAAGCAUCGUAUAUGCCCUACUUCCUCAAACUGCCCAUGAUGCUGACUUCAUUCUAUCUAUUGACUGGAAUAUAUCUAGCUUUAUAAUCCUCAUCUAUCUUUGUAGAUAGAAAUUUGUCAGAUUAGUUUAUGUAUAAUGAUUCCUUUUUAAGACAAUUUAAGUGAAUUAAAGUCAAAUAAAUUUUAGGGAGGCCUGAAAGUGGCUCAAAGUCAUACUGGUCCCCAAAUAUUUAGGAAAUCCUAAUUCUAAACUGUUAACAUCUUGAUGUGAUACCAAGACCAUUUACAAAGGCUCUUUUUGUUAAUUAGUUUGUGGGGUGCUAAGUGAGUUAUUUAGUAAUGAUUAUCAAUAGUUAAAUAUUUCACUGUGAAAAUAGAAUAAUAAAUAAUACUCCUCUGGUCUUAAUAAUAGUCACAAGUGCAUUCAUUCAACAAAUACUAAAGUCCUUCUGUGCAUAAAGGAUCAUCCAAUGUGUUGGGGUCUUUGAAACAUUGUGAUCCAAUCUGACGAGCUCCAAGUCUUGUUGGGGAGCGACAGAGAAAAAGAUUUGAUAAUAUAAAGUUAUCAAUAAAGGGCCAUGAAUGCAGAGAAGAGGGAUUAGAAAUCUAAAAAGACUGUCUUUCUUUUUUUUAAUUUACUUUUUACUUUUUAAUUAAUUAAUUAAUGAAUUAAUUAAAAUUCAAGUUAGUUGACAUACAGUGUAGUAUUGCUUCCAGAAGUAGAACCUACUGACUCAUCACUUACAUAUAACACCCAGUGCUCACCCAAUAAGUGCCCUCCUUCAUGCCCAUCACCCAUUUAGCUUAUCACCGCACCCACUUCCCAUCUUGCAACCCCUAGUUUGUUCUCUGUAUUUAGUCCUAACUUUCCAGGACUUAAGGGCAAGUCCUAAGAAAGGGGAAAAGGAGAGGUACAGCAGGGGCUUUGAGAUGGAAAUCACAUAGCUCUUAUAGGGCAAACACACGGGGAAAUAGGGCAAGUUAAUUAUUGUGAAUGGAACACAGUGGCCCCCAGGGUACCUCAUGGAGAGGAUGGAAAGAGGUUGGAGUUCUAAUCCAGGAAACUCUAUCUAUCUAUCUAUCUAUAUCUUCUGUAGGCAAUGAAGAUCUAGCAAAAUAUGUCUAACAGAAGAUCAACAAAGAUAAAUUUUGGUUUUGAAAUUAUCUUUUGCAGAAUACAGAAUGCAAAUUAGGUAGAACAGAGAGAAUGAGGCCACAGAGGAACUUAGAAGGGUAUCAUGAUGACACAGGAAGAAAAAAGAUGAGGGCUGAACUAAGACAUCUGCAUUAGAGAUGAGAAAGGGAUCCAGACUCAAGACAAAUCCCAAGAUAAAACAAAGAUGACUUGGACGCUAGAUGGAUAUGGAGCAUGUGCUAGGGGUUGAGAAUAACAUCCAACAGACAGAGGAAAAUAGUGUGUGUGUGUGUGUGUGUGUGUGUGCGCGUGUGUGUGAGAGAGACAGACAGACAGACAGAGACAGAUAGAACAGGGGGGAGUAGCAAGGAUGUUCAGAGACGUUCAAGGGUUGCCUGGAUAUGGCAGCUAAAAGAGAGUGCUGAUGGGAAAGAACAUGGAUUUAGAAGUCAAUAUCAGAUAGAUGUAACCGAGGACACGAGCUUGUAUCUGAUCACUCAUAGGGAAAGCAAGAAGAAGAGAGAAGACCAAGGGCAGAUCCCCAAGGAACACUAACAUUUAAGGAUUUAGUGGGAGAAGAGAAUCCAGCAAAGAAGGAGCAAGCAGAGCAGAAUGAUCUGGAAGGAGCCAGAAGUGGCGAUCUGGAAGGAGCCAGAAGACUUCCCAGGAAGCAGAGCCUGCUGUUGUCUUGAGAGACAAGGCUGCUACCAAGGAGUUAACUCACUGUCGUUCACCGCUCUUUCACAAUCUCCAGAAGUGCUAGCGGAAUGAGAACGUUCCCAUGAUAGAGAUGGCAGAAGAGGGGAAGAGAGAAGGAACAAGGGGCUUAGAUAACUCAUAAAUGAGUCAUCAGCCCAUAAACAAGAAAGAGUCAGCAAUAUGACCAUGCCUGCUGAAAUAAAGGAGCAAAAAGAGCUCUCAAUUUUGAGAAGGUGUCCCUAAGAAUUGAGGCAGUGUGGUAAUUUAAACAGUAGCUCUGGAACCCCCUGCGAGCACGCUGGUAUACCUCAAUAAGUCUUUGUUGAUGGAUGAGCUUGGCUAUGAAGAAAGCUGCUUAGGAGUUACCAUCUCCACAACAGGCAAAGUAAUUGAGGAUCUGCCUACAAGUAAGUACGUGCCAGAAAUGGGGUGUCCUAAAACAAAAGUCUACUAAUUCUUCUCCCCUUUAGGGCCUUUUAAAGGUCAUUGAAUAUAUUACAUUAACAAACUUUAACUUUGAGACCAAAAUUAACAUCUUGGAAAGAAACUACUGUUACUCUUAAAACUGUAUAAAAUAUCUUUCCUUUCUAGAAAUUACAGCACCAUGGAAAUGAAUCAUCUGAGAUUCUGUCUUAAGAAGUAUAGAUGGCAGUUUAAGUAUAGCUCUCUAAAAAGAAGCAGCUUUUCCUCCAUCAUCUUACUAGUUAAUCUUCCUGGGAACAGGCUGAUAUUUACUCAUCCCAAGAGAGAGUUGAAUUGUCUGGACUCCAAAAGAUACCAAGGAUAAGGUUUUAAGUUCCCCACUAUUAGUCAUCACAUGGAGAAAAGUGACAGAGCUCUUUACAGAUGCAUUGCUUUUUCUUUGCCCUUAAAAUGGCAGUUGAAACAACAUUCAAUGGAUUUAAAUUAGGAAAUGUCAGUAAAGAAUGCUCUCCCUUCCUUAAAAGUGAUCGGUUCCCCGGGUAAGAUGUGAAAUACUUUGCGGUCUCUAGACGACAGGAUCAGAUAGGCGAACAAUGCACUCGAGAGCUUUGCAAAGAAACAUUAGACAAAAUAGAUCAGGUUAAAGUGGACACAAACGCCCAACAGCAAAUUCUAAUUAUUUUCAUUCCCAGCCUUGAAACAAAGAGACAAUUUAAAAAAUAUAUACAUACGUAUAGAGUAUGUAUAUAUACGUGUAUACACAGUGAAGGUAUUUCUCCUUCAUUUGAUUUACUAUUGAUGCUCAGAAUUUCUCUGUAGCAUAGUACAUAAGCAGACUAAUAACUGAAUAAUAAAAAAUGAAUACUUUUUAAGGCGCAUUUCCUGCCUAGGUCUUUUAAGGCCAUGCCCAAGUUAUUCUGGUAAACUGAUGUUGUGGAUGAAACCCAGGUUUCCGAGUCCAGAAAUUAUGGGUUUUAAUUCCAGCACCCCCAUUUCUAGGUGUCUAGAUCCUAGACAAGCUACCGAACUUUUCUGAGCUUCAGUUUUGAAAAAGUCUGUGAAAAGGAAAAAAGAGCACUAACUUUUUGGGUUCUUAGGAGGAUUAAAUGUGAUAAGGGAUGUUACACCCUCUGGAAACAUUAGCUCUCAUUUUCCUCUAUGGGUUCCUAUUCUUUCUGUGAAAGCAUACACCAAAAUAGGACGCAGUUGUGAAUGUUGGUAAGCCAUGAACCCAGUUCCAAGGCAGAAGGUUUAAAUAACCAAGAAAACUCCAGGAAUUGUUGAUGCAGCUAUCUUCCAGAUGAGAAAUGCUCACAGUCAUGGGGAACACACUGUACACUUGCUUCUAGAUCCUUGGCCGAAAUUUCUGUCUUGAAUAGCAGUGGUUGGCUACCCACGCUACCCUCUAAAGGCGGCUAUAUUUUAGUAGCUGUCAAAUAGCUGAUGCAUGCUAAAAACUACAGAAAGUUGCCUUUUCCUCCUUAAAUUCUUUUUUUUUUUAAUUUUUAAAUGUUUAUUUAUGUUUGAGAGAGAGAGACACACACAGAGACAGAGCUCAAGCAGGGGAGGGGCAGAGAGGGGGGGAGACAUAGAAUCCAAAGUAGGCUCCAGGCUUCGAGCUGUCAGCACAGAGCCCAACACAGGGCUCGAACUCACGAAUGGUGAGAUCAUGACCUGAGCCAAAAUCAGACGCUUAAUUGACCGAGCCACCCGGGCAUCCCAGCUCUUUAGGUUAAUUGCAUCCAUGUGCACAGAAAUGACCCAAAUAAAUAUGCUUUAACCUUUCAGGAUAACUGAGAUUUUGAACUCAGGUCCAGUUUAGAAGUAGAGGCUGAAGAUUUUGAAAGAAUUGUGUGCCUUUGGAAGUCGGGUACGGGUUUCCUUCUCUAGAGAAUCUUGGAUAAUUGAGCUUGGGUCUCGCUGUUCCCUCAUUGCCUUUGCUUCACAAAUCAGAAAGACCUAGCCUAUAAGAGACAUGCCUCCAUGUGCCUCUUUUCUGUCCUAGGAGCUAAGAAAAGCUGCCCCAGGACCUGCUGCUUGUAGCUCAUGAAAUCAUGAGUCAUUUGUGUAGCAAAAUGAUUCGCCACUUAUGUCUGUACAAAGUUGAAAAGGGGAUGGGCUGAGGAUGGGGCAAUUCAAGUGCAGAAAUAAAUGCUCUAGGAGGGGCACGGGCUCCUUAAGCUGCUGGAACAGGAUACUGGGUUCACAGUUCUCGGGUCCUCAGCAUUCCCGUCCUCCUAAGCAACACGUCUUCCUGAAGCCUUACAGCCUCAUGAUAGCAGCAUAUGACACAGAACAUUUCGGGUCACAGAGUGCUCUCUCUUCCACUUCCUGUUGUUUUUACUUGUGUGCUUUGUUUCUUGUUUUCAAAGGUAUUUACUACCACCUCUAUUAGCUGUUCCUAAAUGAGCCACUGGUCAGUGAUUCCUCUGGUGAAUACACAUUGUUAUUCUGUCUUCGGAGAUGAGGAAAUCUGAGGGAGGAAAUGGUCAGUGGCCUUUUCGUUGUGGUGCAGAAAGGUGGAAGCAGACUGUCUCAGUGAGCAGUUCACUGACUGGCCCACUGAACCUUGCUGCCACCUGGACAUGCCCGGCUCCCCACCCCCCACACUUCCGCCUCCACACCUGCUGCCGAACAUGGCCCAGCUGCACCAUCAGCCCUGGGCUGCCUCGGCUCCUGCCUGCUCCUCCCUCCACUCAGCCCAUUGCUUUUCACCCUUGAACCUUCUAUCCUCCAUAAUCAAAUGGCACUUCCAAAUCCAGAAACUGAAAAGCCAUGGGUUUCAGAACACACGAAGGCAAUGAGGAUGCUUUCUAGCUUUGAGCUUUAGGACAAAAGGGACUCGGGGAAAUAUUUCAUAAAAUUAUAAAAGAAGAACAGGAAAGUUCAAGGCUAACACAAGUACUGCAUAUAGUGAGGCAGAGUUACAUACUCAAUUUGCUAAAAAAAAAAAAAAAAAUAUUUAGCAUCAUCUUUGCAGAUCCGUGUGUAUCCAGUCCCCAAGAACACCACAGACAAUGUCUGUGAAUUCCUUUUAGGCAUGCCUCCUAGGGCAGAGGAAGAAGGUGUAAAACUAGAUACUGGAAGAAGAGCCCGCCGUUGCCUAGAAUGAAGAAUGGGAAGAAUUUAACCUACUUUUCAACAUGAAGCCUUCACUCAUUCUUGGCCUUCUCUUUGUCGUCUGUCUCGACUUCUCUGUCCUAAGGUCUAUGUCCCCGGUGGACCUACCAGGAAGAGGGGGCCACUGCCUUAUUCCAUCUAAAUGCCUCUGUCAAAGCCCACCGCAAAUUUUACCUUCUCCACGAAACCUUCCUGCCGAAUUUGACUCUCGCUGCUCUCAACUAUUAGGGUGUUUAUUGCUGGUGCAUUAAGUUCAGAGCUUUGUAAUUUAGAUGCCGUGCGUGGCUAUGUCUCUGGCACUGUAUUUGUCUCAACUCUUCCCCCACCCCCACAGUGUCCAGGCCAACGGCACAUUCCAGUUACCCAUUUGCUGAACAAAUGUUUAUCGAUCAUCCAUGUGUGCCUUGUAUCAUAUUCCAUUAUGAGAAUAAAAAGCGGAAAAAGACACAGUUCUUGGUCUCACUGAGAUAGGAAAGCAGAGAAACAACUCACCGGAAUCCAGUGUUCUGUGCUUUCUCCUGCAGAGUAUGAAUACAAGGCUAAAGGCUAAAGCGACACAGUGGAGGGGCACUCAAGUCUAGGCGAUCCUGGGGAGCAGAGGUCAGAAGGUGAUUUUUGAAUUAAGUUUUGAAGAAUAAGCCGACAUUCAGCAGGGAGACAAAAGGGCAGAGGGGAAUCCCAGCAGGGACAGGAAGAUAUGCAAACGUGAACAGGCAUACAGGGGGCCAUGUAGUGAAGUGUGCAGGGAAUUGCAGGUAUGCCUGGAGACCAGGGAAUGUGAGAGCAAGCUGGUGGGGGUGUGGAAUGAAGAGCCCGACUAGUACCCUGUUUAAACAGAUGCAUGAAUGCACCCAACAUAGUCACUUUACUCAUUGCUUAUUACGUUAUAUUGCUCUUCCUCUUAAAAUAUGAGAAUUCACUUAGCUAUUUUACAAUUUGUCAGUCUGUACCUCUAUGUCAUUGAAAUACUUCCCUUGGUCCCAGGAAAGCCAGUGAAGGGGAGUGAGAAUGUUCAUUCUCUGCACAUACUACAGUAUUCUACAAACACAAGUGCACUGUCCACCUAAAGACUAAGCCAUCGUACGUCAUGACGAUGUUAUGCCAGGGUGCUGACGGUACAGGUCACACAGCGCUAAGUGCUGCCCUGCACUGUUCCCACUCAGGGCACAGUUAGUAGUUAGGCUCUGUGAGAUGCCAUAUUUAAAGCUGAUGCUUUGAUCCAAAGAACACCAUCCACUGACAACGUAUUCCAGCAUCUCCCCUCACUGGGAUAUCUGGGCUUCUGCUUCCAUGGUUCCCUUCCAAUUUUACAGACCCAACCUUUACGUCCUCUCUUCUUGAAGGUAAGAAUAUGACAGGUCAGAGACGAUAGCAGGAGUGGACGAGGGUGAAUAAUGGCUGGCAACUUUCCAGGUGAUUACAGCGCUGAGAACAUGUCACCCUAAUGGAGUGCUAUAUCUUUUGAUAACCUCUGCCUGCUUCAGAUACGUUACAAACAUGAGACUUAACUAUGUAGCCACUGCAUUAAUUUAUGCAUCGAUUUCUUGACUGCUCAUUCUUAGAGGUAUUAACCCAGUGUAAUUCAGUACUUCCUUGGUAAGCCUUCCAUAGGAAGAUUAAAACAAUUUUAGCGAUUAUAAACUAUCUAGGUUUAGCAGAUGCUGGUACUCUAUGGGAUUGUGACCUGAAAGGAUUUAUGUCUAAAUGUGAUUUAAAGUCUCUCCCUCUCCAAGACUUCAUUUUACCUUUCAUGCUUUCCAGUCUCUCAAAGUGCAUUAUUUCUCUUUAGAAUAGUUUAUCUUACUUAAUAAUUACACACGAGAUAGAUGUUAAAUAGGUAAAUAUAUUUGCUUUCUGCAUUUGGUGUGUUUGUAUUAAUUUUGGAUUGUUUUGGAAAUUGCACUAGAAAAAAAAAUGUUUCAGUCUGCCUUCUGCAUGUUUCCACAGCAGUGUCAGUGACAGAAGGCAGCUGCAGCAUUGACUUUAACUUGGUUUAAAGACUGAUAUUUGACUCCAACUUUAAAAAUGAUCGUCGUACUUAAAAUUUAAUCUGAAGGCAUAUGCCUCCUCAGCGAACCCCACUCAAUUGUCAUCUUUAAUGGGGGCAUUACUCGGAAAUCCAGUUUUCAGCAUGUCCUUUUUUGUCCUCAGGGUACAUGUCCUGAAAUGUAUUUUUAUCUUGAUGCAGAGUAAACGAGUUACUUGGGUCAACCCUGACCAUUAUUUUAAGGGCAGGAUUUCUUGAAUGAAUAUGCCAGGUAUAAAAACAGAUUCUAUAUCGGUUCCACAAGAUUGUCUUGUGAUGCAACUCUUUUUCUGCUCCAUUGGUUUCAUGUUAAUAGGGAACACAUCUCAUGGGGGUGUGUAGCCCUAUGAUGCUUGUUCUUUUUUCUUUUCUUUCCUUUUUUUUUUUUUAAAGCUGAUUUGAUGUUUUCAGUCAGAGUAGUAUUUUCAUAUGCCAAAUAAAUUCAGAUCUCAGAAUUUUUCCCCCAGUUUCUAUCGGAAUACAGUUUUCAGAAAAAUAUAGAGGCCUGAUGAAAUUUGAAUUUUGAUAAACGACAAACACCUUUUUUUUAGUAUAAGUGUAUCCCCUUCAAACCUUGGGACAUACUUGUACUAAAAGAUUACUUGUUGUUUGUCUGAAAUUCAAAUUUAACUGGGCCUCCUGUAUUUGUAUUUGCUAAAUCUGGCAAUUCCGUAUCUGGGGGCAGUUGAAUUAUGAUCAGCAUUACAUUAUCUCCAGAUUGCAGGUCUGCAAAAUCCCCAAGGGACCAUUCUUUUCAUGGGUAUGUGCAAAAGUGGAGAUUGUUCCACAGGCCAUUCCCAGAGGCUCCAUGGAGCCAUCUGGUUUGGGGUCUCAUGGAUCUAGACACUGGAGAUUAACCAGUCCCUCCUUUAAAGAACGUUUAAAAGCUUUAAAGCAACAAAAAUAAUGCCCUUCACAUAGUGGGCACUCAAUGUAUUUACUUCUGUUGAUAUCUUUAGUGUUCAUUAGCGCCAGGCAAGAUGAGGACCUCUUACAAACAGCUCCUAAGUAACCCUCAGUUCUCAAUCCAAGCACUUCCGGUUCUUCGGAAACCAGACGUAAAUUCUACCUUGUUUGAGAGGGCUUCUCACCCAACCUCAGACAUGAGUCCUCCACCACCCACCUCUCUAGCAUUUAUCAUUUAUUCCACUCAUUUGGCGUUUCACAUGUCCUGCUUAACAUUUCAACCAAACUUUCAUUUACAAAUCCCCCGAGGAAAAAAAUGUAGAUAGCGGUAGCAAAGCGCUGUGAUUUACAGCAUGAGUCCCGGAGUCUCCGUGCUGGUCUCAAAUGCUGUUCUGCCUCUUCUCGCCUUUGUAACGUCUCACAGACACAUCCGCUAAGCCUCAGUUAAUUAUUUUUAUCCCUCAAGAAAACGGGGUUAAUAAUACCUCCUAGUAUUGUUGUAUUAAAUGAGAUAAUGGGUAACUCUUGGCAAACACUGAAUGGUGGUGGGUAAUUACCAUCACCAUCACCAUCAUCAUCAGCCUCAUCACGUUAUCUUUCUUGAAUCCACACUCCCUCCAGUAUCUCUUAUCAGGCCCUAUGUGAACUGACUGAAGAAUCACGCUGGAGAGCUGGUAGAGACUCCAAAUUCCCAGCUGCACUUGUGCUGAAAAGCACUGUCUGGAGACAGAUGAGCGAGUCUCACUCGUUCUGCAAGGUAGCGAUUUCACUUGCUUAAUUCUCGAUUUCUCUGUACUCCUUGAAACCUACACAUUUAAACCACGGCCUUGUGUUCUGCUUGGGAUUAUGUGAGAAGCAGGAAAACUUUAACUGCCUUACAGAUUUGUUUCCUUCGUGGCACCAGCCUGGGGAGCCCUCCUGGGACUCGUGUCACCACACACUUCCUGCCUUACCCUUUAUUAUUUGCUGCCUCUUGAUUUUUCUCUCAGUCAUCAGUGAGGAAGUUGCAUAACUUAAAAGCUAAGUGGGAGCUGCUUUCCUGUAAUCUGUAGUCAUACAUAUUCUUUUUCCUUAGGGUAACUUUUAAAAGAAAUGUCAUGCAAAGUGCUCUUCUGAAUGAAAACUGACUUUUUUUUGGCAUUUGGAGCAUGUGCUAGAUUGGGUUUUCAACAUCUUAUGUCCACAUACAGUAUAAUCAAUAGAGUCACUUGGAGAAACAGUAUGGUUUUCUUAAUAUCGGAACAUGUUAAAAAAAAAAAAAACAACCCAAAAUAUAAGUUUCCAUGACUUCCUCUGAGUUCUCUACUGGCUUUUUCCAAAGAUCAAAUUCGUAAUGCUUAGCAUAAGAAAUAAAGAAAUGAAAGAAAAAAGCAUUUUGGGUCAUGCGUUCAUCAUCGGCAUAACACUUUCAAAACUAUAAUCUCUCAGAAGGUUCUGGCAGAAACCCAUUCAUCUUUGUAUCAGGACCCAGCACCUUUUUUGUCACAGGUACCCAACAGUAUCUGUUGAGCCAACUAAUGAACAAGUAUUUAUUGAGCACUUAGGAGAUUCAUUGCCCACUUGUGGUAUAGUGUUAGUAUCACUGUGAUCAUUAGUAAAUAAUGAUAUCAAGCCAGUGGUAUAAGCUGUGGGGGUCUGGGUGAGAGAGUUUACAGUGUCUGAUCGUUUAGAAUUCACAGCAAUCGGCCUUGCCGUUCCCAUUGUUAGCCCCAGAGAACAACACGUUCCCACGUUCCCACCUAUCUUGUUUUUAUUGAUUAACCACUUUAAAUUCAUUCUGAACCCAUCAAGGCUCAGAAACGGCCCUGGGCCUUUCCUUCUCUGGUGUCCAAGGUGGCCCCAUGAGCCCGAUCCCGAUCCUGCAGGCUUCGGCCUGGCCCAUCUGUUCUGGAGCCCCUGUCAUCUUGGGAACAGUGCAACACUGUGGAGGCCAGGCUGUACCCAAGGUUAGAGACCCCGCCUUUAAAAUUGCUAGUCUGGGAAAAGCGGGAAAUACUGUUUCAAUUAGAAGGAUAAAACAUGGACAGCCAUGAACCACUUAAGAAGUUGCAUACUACUUGUCUUUAACCACAAAACCAAAAUCACCAUUUAGCUCUGCUUCUGCACAGCAUAGGGAAGAUCUGAGUGGCAGCCCAGUUGAGCUAUUUCUUUUCCUAUUUAUUUAUUUAUUUAUUUAUUUAAUUUAUACUGUUCUCUGGCCCUGAUUCUGCUAUUGAAGACUUCCAAAGUCUCAGGGUACUUCAGUGUUAAUAGAAAACAAGGAACCAUGGCCACAUUUGCAGAUGGGAAUAUGGAAGAACCAGGUCCGUAUACAUAGGAGCCCGUCGCUUGGACAGCAGGAAUGAGUGAGGUUUCCAGAACUGCUUUUCAGGUGUUUCCAUUCUUGACUGGUUUUCAUUCCCUCUUUCCAAUGUGUCAUUCCCUUGUGUUUCACCUCAUUUCCUCCCAGUUUCCGUCUCUACUUGGUCCCAUAUUCGUUUGGAUCCUCGUAAUCUCCCUUUUUCUCCUGGUACAAUCUGGUGACUUUAUUGAAACCAGACUGUUUCAUAAUGAGAAAUGUUCACAGGUAAAGUCUUCCUGCUGGCAGCCUCUCCCUGCAGUACCCACCCCCUGACCUGUAGUCUCACUGCUGUAAACUGAAGAGUGCUGAGUCACGUGUGAACGAUGAUCAAGGAACCACGCCAGCCAUGGCACCUUAGUCUUGCACCCAAGAGAAACACCAACACGACUGUCACACACAUUUGGAGUUGAGCGCUCAGUGCUGCACAGCGUCACGAGUCAUUCCAAGCCUCUGCUCUUGUGAGCAUCUCUGUUCAGGCCCCAGUGGGGAUGCGUCUGCAUACCUCCUGCUCCGUGUCAAAAUAUAUUCAAGUUGUGCACAUUUGAAUAAAGUUCCAUUUCACUUUUAAUCCUUUAAAAUCUAAAGUUUAGAUCACUAUGGUCAACAGAAAACAAGUUACAUGAAAAUCUUUGUUGUGACAGCAAGACUAGGGAUUUGCAGAAAUGAAGGCAAAUAAAUAAAUUUUAUAGAUUAAUCAAUAAUUUACUAGUUGUAUAUAACCUAAUUUUAUUGUUCAUGGAAACAUCACCAACUCCCCAACAGAAUAUCCAGGCAUGCACAAUAAUAAGUCAAUUCAGUCAUCAGAUAUUUUGUUGACUUUCAGUCAUAAAAAAAACAUAGUUUUCCAUAUAUUUUUCCAUUUUGUAAUUAUGCACAUAUAUUUGUCAAGGUAGGAAGAUAGGGAAUAUUUAACUGUUUGUUAGCCUGAUUUAUAAUUUUUAAAUAUUUAGACAUAUGGUACAUUGGUUUCCAUCUGUCUUGCUCUGAGCCCUGCAAAUGUUUAGGGACGGGUCUGCUCAGGUAUUUUCCUUUUGUUGUAGCUUACAAAGCUUACAAGAACAGCUUACUGUUCUUUUGAACUAUUUCCUUUUGGUGAUUGGUUUAGGUACAACAGAACUGGAUGCCCCCCCCCCCCGCCCACCCCAGCAAUUUAUUGUAUGUUUUCAAUAAGUAGUUUGGUUGACAGGUAGGGAUAAAAAAGUAAGAGACAAGAAUACCGAGUUCUUUGGGCCUCAUAAUUAGUUUCCCAAACCAUUUCUUGACAACCCAUGUGUACUCUUCGACACAUUCCCAACAUUUUAUUCAAAAUAUAUUAAGGGAAGAGUUGCACAUGUGUGUUAAGAACACGGAGCUUUGGAGUCAGACAACCCUAGAUUUGAAUUUUAACUCUACAGCUCACUAGCAGGUGAUUUAUUUCAACAAUUUGAUCCUUAGUUUCUUGAUCAGUGAAAGGUGAUGAAAAUACCUACACCCAUAAGGUUGCACCGAGGACUAGAGAUAACACAUGUAAAAUGCUCACCACACAGUAAGCAUAAAUAGUUACUAUUAUUGAAAUGUCCACAUUUUAAUUCUCGAAGUAUCAGUCUGCUCAUUCAUUCAAUAAUCCUCCUGUUCAAAACCCUUUGGCAGCUCUCCGCUGCCCAGAGUGUACCUUCUCAUCGCUUGUACCUUCUUGACUCCAGCCUACCAGUCUUAAAUUCCCGCAUUCCUCUCGGCUGUGGCCAUCCCGGGAGACCUCCAUGUUCCUUCCUCUAUGUCCUUACGACCACAGUCCCAUCUGUUUGGAUGGCCUCUCAUCAUUUUAGGCCCAGUUCAAAGGGCACUUCUUGUAAGAAGCCUUUUCAUUCACCAGUGUCAAUUAACUUUCUUCUCCCUGCAGUCCCAGAGCCCAGGCUCUGUGGCUGUAUUAGAAAAACCAUUACCAUGAACUUGAUAUUGUAUCAAAUUUGCAGUCUGUGUCCAUCAUGUCUGCUCUACUGUCAGUUUCUUUGGGAUAGAUUGUCUCUUUUUCAUACACUCCCUUCCCACAGGCAUGUAACAUAGUACUUGGUACAAAAUAGAUGUUCUUAAUUUGUUUAAAUUUGAAUUUGUUGAGAUCUACUUCCGUGGUGUCAGAGGUACUGAAGGCAUUAUUUCGAUUCUUCAAGUACUGGGGAUUCUUGUUCUCAUGACUACGAGAUUUUGUAAAAAAUGGCAUGACUUACACUUUGUAAAACAAUUUGCUAAUUUCCAGGAAAAGCACUUUGUCUAAAAGCACUUCUUAUUGACAAAUGGAACAUUGUGAUAUAUUGUGCCACUUAAGAAAAGCAUGCAAUUCAUGCUAAUAUGUUGGAGAGAUUUCAAUAUUUAGAUAUUUCAAAUGUCCACUACUUCUCUGAUACGCCUCCCUUCCAAGGUAGGACCUAAUUAACCUCCUUUUGAAUGGCUUGACUUAAUGAA
Panthera uncia (snow leopard) is the source of this 13401-nucleotide long non-coding RNA. RefSeq lists it as uncharacterized. The transcript is spliced from 2 exons. The record is from RefSeq and is a predicted model, not a curated record. NCBI's taxonomy places the organism in Eukaryota, Metazoa, Chordata, Mammalia, Carnivora, Felidae.